UGGGAAUUUGGACAAUGGGGAAACCCUGAUCUAGCCAUGCCGCGUGAGCGAUGAAGGCCUUAGGGUUGUAAAGCUCUUUCAGCUGGGAAGAUAAUGACGGUACCAGCAGAAGAAGCCCCGGCUAACUCCGUGCCAGCAGCCGCGGUAAUACGGAGGGGGCUAGCGUUGUUCGGAAUUACUGGGCGUAAAGCGCACGUAGGCGGAUUAGUCAGUCAGAGGUGAAAUCCCAGGGCUCAACCCUGGAACUGCCUUUGAUACUGCUAGUCUUGAGGUCGAGAGAGGUGAGUGGAAUUCCGAGUGUAGAGGUGAAAUUCGUAGAUAUUCGGAGGAACACCAGUGGCGAAGGCGGCUCACUGGCUCGAUACUGACGCUGAGGUGCGAAAGCGUGGGGAGCAAAACAGGAUUAGAUGCCCUGGUAGUCCACGCCGUAAAACGAUGAAUGCCAGUCGUCGGGUUGCAUGCAAUUCGGUGACACACCUAAACGGAUUAAAGCAUUCCGCCUGGGGAGUACGGUCGCAAGAUUAAAACUCAAAUGAAUUGACGGGGUCAUAGCUGUUUCC
RNAcentral lists this ribosomal RNA (560 nucleotides) under uncultured bacterium. RNAcentral's name for it is "partial 16S ribosomal RNA". It matches the Rfam family "Bacterial small subunit ribosomal RNA", at positions 357 to 937 of the family's 1533-position model. The record is from RNAcentral.